Molecule: non-coding RNA, 645 nt
Organism: Salmo salar (Atlantic salmon)
Lineage: Eukaryota; Metazoa; Chordata; Actinopteri; Salmoniformes; Salmonidae
Source: RefSeq, a predicted model, not a curated record
CAUACCUCCCUGUAUUCCAGGUACCUCAGUGGUGAUCAUUGUGUGUGUGAGUCUGGCUGUGUUGGUGUUUGCUGUCAUCACCCUCAUAUUCUACAGGUGCUGACGACGCAACAAGGCUCUAGGUGAGAUACCAUCAAUAUCACACACACACAUAUACAUACAAAGAUUUAUAAUAUACAGUCUAUUGUGUGUUUCACAGGGUCAAUCUCGAACAGGCCUGAUGCAGACACAGGAAGCACUGAAGAGGUUGAUGAUGAGGAAGAUGGUGAUGAUGAAGAAAAUAUAACUUCCACCCACAAUGCAGCGGCCCCUCAGCCCGUGUCUACCGCUGACCCAGAAUGCAUUGCUCAUGUCCCCGCCCUCUACCAAUCAGCCUUUUAAGCACUCGACCCUAAAGCAUUGGACCAGAACCUCAACAAUAUCACAACUACUAACUCCGGAUAGACUGUAGCACAGAGAUCCUAAUAAAAUCUGAUUUACAUGGAAUUACAUUUCAAUAUGUAAUGAAGUUCUAAUAUGUAAUUAGAUUCUAAUAUGUAAUUCUAUGCUCUGUAUUCUGAAGAGAAGAGGUCGUGUUAUCGUUACCAGAGCUGGGGUCCAAUUGAAUAGAAUUCAAUUAAAUUCAUUAAAAUAAUCACAAUUCAA